This 440-nucleotide ribosomal RNA is filed under the name uncultured bacterium. RNAcentral's name for it is "partial 16S ribosomal RNA". It matches the Rfam family "Bacterial small subunit ribosomal RNA", at positions 338 to 795 of the family's 1533-position model. The record is from RNAcentral.
CCUACGGGAGGCAGCAGUGAGGAAUAUUGCACAAUGGGGGAAACCCUGAAGCAGCGACGCCGCGUGAGUGAAGAAGGAAUUCGGUAUGUAAAGCUCUAUCAGCAGGGAAGAAAAUGACGGUACCUGAGUAAGAAGCCCCGGCUAACUACGUGCCAGCAGCCGCGGUAAUACGUAGGGGGCAAGCGUUAUCCGGAUUUACUGGGUGUAAAGGGAGCGUAGACGGCAGUGCAAGUCUGGAGUGAAAGGCGGGGGCUCAACCCCCGGACUGCUCUGGAAACUGUACGGCUGGAGUGCAGGAGAGGUAAGUGGAAUUCCUAGUGUAGCGGUGAAAUGCGUAGAUAUUAGGAGGAACACCAGUGGCGAAGGCGGCUUACUGGACUGUAACUGACGUUGAGGCUCGAAAGCGUGGGGAGCAAACAGGAUUAGAUACCCUUGUAGUC